Molecule: long non-coding RNA, 426 nt
Organism: Capsicum annuum
Lineage: Eukaryota; Viridiplantae; Streptophyta; Magnoliopsida; Solanales; Solanaceae
Exons: 3
Source: RefSeq, a predicted model, not a curated record
ACCAGCCCGUUUGGCAGCUAUAAUUAUUUCUUCAAGGCCUUUCCUCUCUUCAAGCCCUUUCACAGGUCUUGAAGAGCAAAAUUUUGAUCUUGUUCUCUUGUUUAUUCACAAAGGGGUGGUGAAUGUAAGGUCUACACUUUGGCUGAGGUCUCCCAACACAAUACCGCCAAGGAUUGUUGGCUGAUUAUUAGUGGCAAGGAUGACUACUUGUUUAAAUAAAUGUUGUGAAAGGUGCUCGCCAUAGCGCCUUUGGCGAGAACCGGAGAGUCGAGGCAAUCCCACGGAGGCGAGAAAUGGCUAGAGGCGAUGCGGCUAGAAAAGCAACAACAGCGUCAACUUUUUUUUCAAUUAAAAAGUAUAUCAUGUGACAAAAUUCUUGGAUGACCACCCUGGAGGUGAUGAGGUUCUGAUAUCUGCAACUGGUAA